CCAAAAAAGCUUGGUGGACUAGGUUUCUAUGAUUUUUCACUCUUCAACCAAGCUAUGCUUGGUAGACAAUGUUGGAGGCUUCUUACUGAGCCAGAUUCUCUUUGUGCUCGGGUUCUCAAAGGACGCUAUUUUCCUUCCUGUGAUUUUUGGAAUGCGCCCAAGCCUAGAUCGUCAUCCUAUACAUGGAGAAGUAUUCUCUAUGGCUGA
RNAcentral lists this ribosomal RNA (207 nucleotides) under Triticum aestivum (bread wheat). RNAcentral's name for it is "partial small subunit ribosomal RNA". Lineage: Eukaryota; Viridiplantae; Streptophyta; Magnoliopsida; Poales; Poaceae. The record is from RNAcentral.